ACAGGGAUUGCCCUAGUAACGGCGAGUGAAGCGGCAACAGCUCAAAUUUGAAAUCUGGCGUCUUUGGCGUCCGAGUUGUAAUUUGCAGAGGGCGCUUUGGCAUUGGCAGCGGUCCAAGUUCCUUGGAACAGGACGUCACAGAGGGUGAGAAUCCCGUACGUGGUCGCUAGCCUUUACCGUGUAAAGCCCCUUCGACGAGUCGAGUUGUUUGGGAAUGCAGCUCUAAAUGGGAGGUAAAUUUCUUCUAAAGCUAAAUACUGGCCAGAGACCGAUAGCGCACAAGUAGAGUGAUCGAAAGAUGAAAAGCACUUUGGAAAGAGAGUUAAAAAGCACGUGAAAUUGUUGAAAGGGAAGCGCUUGCAGCCAGACUUGCCUGUAGUUGCUCAUCCGGGUUUUUACCCGGUGCACUCUUCUACGGGCAGGCCAGCAUCAGUUUGGGCGGUUGGAUAAAGGUCUCUGUCAUGUACCUCCUCUCGGGGAGAACUUAUAGGGGAGACGACAUGCAACCAGCCCGGACUGAGGUCCGCGCAUCUGCUAGGAUGCUGGCGUAAUGGCUGUAAGCGGCCCGUCUUGAAACACGGACCAAGGAGUCUAACAUCUAUGCGAGUGUUUGGGUGUCAAGCCCGAGCGCGUAAUGAAAGUGAACGGAGGUGGGAACCUUUCGGGGUGCACCAUCGACCGAUCCUGAUGUCUUCGGAUGGAUUUGAGUAAGAGCAUAGCUGUUGGGACCCGAAAGAUGGUGAACUAUGCUUGAAUAGGGUGAAGCCAGAGGAAACUCUGGUGGAGGCUCGCAGCGGUUCUGACGUGCAAAUCGAUCGUCAAAUUUGGGCAUAGGGGCGAAAGACUAAUCGAACUAUCUAGUAGCUGGUUCCUGCCGAAGUUUCCCUCAGGAUAGCAGUAACGUUUUCAGUUUUAUGAGGUAAAGCGAAUGAUUAGAGGACUGGGGGAUG
RNAcentral lists this ribosomal RNA (950 nucleotides) under Epicoccum latusicollum. RNAcentral's name for it is "partial large subunit ribosomal RNA". It matches the Rfam family "Eukaryotic large subunit ribosomal RNA", at positions 68 to 1038 of the family's 3401-position model. The record is from RNAcentral. Lineage: Eukaryota; Fungi; Ascomycota; Dothideomycetes; Pleosporales; Didymellaceae.